GAUGAACGCUAGCUACAGGCUUAACACAUGCAAGUCGAGGGGUAGCAGGGUAGCAAUACCGCUGACGACCGGCGCACGGGUGAGUAACACGUAUCCAACCUUCCCAUAACUCGGGGAUAGCCUUUCGAAAGAAAGAUUAAUACCCGAUAGUACUUUUUCAAGGCAUCUUGAGAAAGUUAAAGAUUUAUUGUUUAUGGAUGGGGAUGCGUUCCAUUAGAUAGUUGGUGAGGUAACGGCUCACCAAGUCUUCGAUGGAUAGGGGUUCUGAGAGGAAGGUCCCCCACAUUGGUACUGAGACACGGGCCAAACUCCUACGGGAGGCAGCAGUGAGGAAUAUUGGUCAAUGGGCGAGAGCCUGAACCAGCCAAGUAGCGUGAAGGAUGAAGGUCCUAUGGAUUGUAAACUUCUUUUAUAGUAGAAUAAAGUGAUCCACGUGUGGAUUUUUGUAUGUAUGCUAUGAAUAAGGAUCGGCUAACUCCGUGCCAGCCGCCGCGGUAA
RNAcentral lists this ribosomal RNA (498 nucleotides) under uncultured bacterium. RNAcentral's name for it is "partial 16S ribosomal RNA". It matches the Rfam family "Bacterial small subunit ribosomal RNA", at positions 28 to 523 of the family's 1533-position model. The record is from RNAcentral.